RNAcentral lists this ribosomal RNA (475 nucleotides) under uncultured bacterium. Its description in RNAcentral is "bacterial SSU rRNA". It matches the Rfam family "Bacterial small subunit ribosomal RNA", at positions 328 to 793 of the family's 1533-position model. The record is from RNAcentral.
UCAGUCGACUCCUACGGGGAGGCAGCAGUGGGGAAUAUUGCACAAUGGGGGAAACCCUGAUGCAGCCAUGCCGCGUGUGUGAAGAAGGCCUUCGGGUUGUAAAGCACUUUCAGUAGGGAGGAAGGUAGUGUAGUUAACACCUGCAUUAUUUGACGUUACCUACAGAAGAAGCACCGGCUAACUCCGUGCCAGCAGCCGCGGUAAUACGGAGGGUGCGAGCGUUAAUCGGAAUUACUGGGCGUAAAGCGCAUGCAGGCGGCCUGUUAAGUCAGAUGUGAAAGCCCGGGGCUUAACCUCGGAAUUGCAUUUGAAACUGGCAGGCUAGAGUCUUGUAGAGGGGGGUAGGAAUUUCAGGUGUAGCGGUGAAAUGCGUAGAGAUCUGAAGGAAUACCAGUGGCGAAGGCGGCCCCCUGGACAAAGACUGACGCUCAGAUGCGAAAGCGUGGGGAGCAAACAGGAUUAGAUACCCUGGUAG